This 303-nucleotide long non-coding RNA is filed under the name Homo sapiens (human). Its description in RNAcentral is "non-protein coding lnc-TNFRSF13C-2:1". The record is from RNAcentral. Lineage: Eukaryota; Metazoa; Chordata; Mammalia; Primates; Hominidae.
GGGCGGUUUGAAAGAUCGGCGCGCACCGCAGGAGCAACGGUUGGUCCUGCGGCUGUGAUGUCGGUGUUGAGGCCCCUGGACAAGCUGCCCGGCCUGAACACGGCCACCAUCUUGCUGGUGGGCACGGAGGAUGCUCUUCUGCAGCAGCUGGCGGACUCGAUGCUCAAAGAGGACUGCGCCUCCGAGCUGAAGGUGUAAGUAGCCGCGGCUGUGGCCUGGGCCCACGUGUCUCUCACUCCAGAGGGAUUCGGUCCUAGCUGCUAAACUCCGAAGCCCAGCGCCCCCUCCUCUGAGGCUGGUCCU